GGGUAAAUAUACCUUUUUUUUUCUUUGCAAGUAUCCAUGAUUUUCUGUGCCUGAUGCUAUUUUCCAAAUUUAGGGAUUGCAAAAGCUGUAUGCUCGAUGUGGCAUAAUGAAAACACUUGAAUAUGUUUUCUAAAUCAAGCUAAAAGCAUAAUCCAGUGUACUUCAUGUUUGGUGGCGUUUGAAACUGUUGACUCACCACAUGUGUCACGCUUUACCUCUUACAGGUCAGAGACACGUGUUAUUGAGGAGAUUACUUCCACUAUUUGGAAGUGUUUAAAUCGGGAACUCUUACAUGUUGAGAAGAACCUUGUUGGGAUGGAUCGUGGAAGGGCGUCUUCUUCUUCUACUUCUAUUGGCC
This 358-nucleotide long non-coding RNA is filed under the name Vitis vinifera (wine grape). RNAcentral's name for it is "long non-coding RNA (VVIN_LNC006230)". Lineage: Eukaryota; Viridiplantae; Streptophyta; Magnoliopsida; Vitales; Vitaceae. The record is from RNAcentral.